Molecule: ribosomal RNA, 276 nt
Filed under: uncultured prokaryote
Description: partial 16S ribosomal RNA
Rfam family: Bacterial small subunit ribosomal RNA
Source: RNAcentral
UACGUAGGGGGCGAGCGUUAUCCGGAAUUAUUUGGCGUAAAGGGUUCGCAGGCGGCCUUGUAAGUCAGAUGUGAAAGACAGCGGCUUAACCGUUGUAAGCAUUUGAAACUGCAGGGCUUGAGUACAGGAGAGGAAAGCGGAAUUCCUAGUGUAGCGGUGAAAUGCGUAGAUAUUAGGAGGAACACCAGUGGCGAAGGCGGCUUUCUGGACUGAUACUGACGCCGAGGAACGAAAGCGUGGGGAGCAAACAGGAUUAGAUACCCGGGUAGUCCCUGA